Molecule: long non-coding RNA, 3627 nt
Filed under: Homo sapiens (human)
Lineage: Eukaryota; Metazoa; Chordata; Mammalia; Primates; Hominidae
Description: HSALNT0047632
Source: RNAcentral
CAUCUGGAGAGCAUUUUGCAACAAGCAGGGCCUGAAUCCCACCUGCAGUGAUUCUGAUUCAAUCAGUCUUGGGUUGGUCUCUGACUUCCGUAAGCUUUCAAAAUUCCUCAGAUGAUUCCAAUACGCAGCUGGGUUUGAGAAGCAUUGGUCUGGAGGAAUCGUGUCUGUUUCUACCUGGCUGCCACCGCCUCGCCUUGCUCCCAUGGCUCUCAGGUCCCCAGGACUGCCUAAGAACUUCUUCCAGCAACACUUGCCUUUUUUGUUGUUCCAGAACAUUUACUGGUGAUGAGAGACUCUAAAGAAGUCACAGCUUGCUUCCUUUCUGAAGAACGUUGUGAUUUUGGCUCACGUGCAGUGCACGACAACUCUUCUCCAACAGCAUGACAUAGUCCACUGUCUCAGGAUCCCAUUUUUCCACCAGCUGCAGAGCAGGAAGGGACAAAUCAAAGUGUGAGCAUUCGGAUCACCAACGCUGUGACCUCGCUGUGUGAACGGGAGCUACUACAGGAAGGAAGCUUACAAAUGAGCUGCAUGGAUCCCACAUUUUGCUAAAAUCAAAUAGGACCUUUCUCCUCUUUGUUGAAUGCCGUAAUACACAAGAAAUAAGCCAGCAGGAUGCUCAUGUCCAAGGUUUCCCUUUAUCUACCACACGAGUUGGCAUGAAACAACUUCUGGGGUUCAAAUCUUCUGAACAAUGAUACAAGUCUUGGCAAAUUUCAAGAAUAAUUUAAAGAGGAAAUAAAUAGCUUUUUGUUUAACUUGGAUCAAUUAUCUCCUAUUGCUCCCAGCUUCAUGCCAGGUACUCUCCACUGUGCCUGGGAAAUAUGAAUCCCUGCCCUCAUGAAAAAACAUUGGCCAUGAGGAUUUUCCCUACAACCCAAGAACUAUUUGAAGUUUGAAGUCUUUCAGCCCAGACAACACUGGCUAUUUUCACCUUUGCCUUCAACUAUAAAGGCUGGGCUCUCUCUGCAGGAGUGGGUUACUGCUGGCAGAACAGAGAAAGAGAGAGAGCAGGAGAGAGAGAGACAGACAGAAUCCACUAGUAGAAUAAGCCAUGAUCACCACUCAAAACUUCUUUAAUUUUUGCAUCUGGCAAGAGUUUCUGCAAAUUCCCUGUGGUAAAGAUGGCAGGCUGCCCUGGAGAUCUUCUCUUCCUUGUGGGUUGGCUGUGGCUCGGAAGUGGCGGCUUCCUGGAGCCUGUGUGUCCAUUCCCAACUUCCUUGCAUCUAGAGCCUGUUUACUAGCAUGUCACUGCCUAUCACACAAUAAGGCUGGUGAAAUUCUAUUGAAAUAAUCCAUGUAAAAUGCUCAGUGGAGUGCACGAUACAAGUCAAUUCACUUCAGAAAGUAUCUACCCCCGUGUCCCCAGCAGCACAUUUCAUCCACACCACGAAGCGAACAGAAAGAGACCUAAAGCUUGGUCUAUGUGCUUCUGCCACUCACGUCUGAGGACUCUUCAGUGUUUGAAUUUUAAGAUUUGCCUCCAGUAUGAAACGAGAGGACUUUGCCUUCACUACUCAGCUUGAAGAAAGAGGAAGAGAUUUAUUUGGGGUGGAGAAUGUGAAGCCAUCCCAGUGACUGCCUCUUCCACAAAUUGUCUUUCUGUUCCAAGGCAAUGACCUCAGUGUUGUCAACUAGGAGGCACCUGAGCUAGUAAGGAGAAGCCAAGCAAGAGAGAGAUUUGCCUCAUCCCCACUGGUUAAAUAGUUUGCUCAUAAAAAAUUUCGGAAAUAUAUUUAUUAAGGAUAACUAUGUGCAACAGUUUCUAAAAUGUCAUUUGGGAUGUUGCAUGAGUGAUCAAUGUUAGGGUGGCAUGAAAAUCCUGAACUGUAGCUAGCAGGCUUUAGCAGCUGAAGGCAUUUUGUUUAAUACUGUAAAUACAGUACCAGAGUUUAACUGCAUUGACGAUUAUUUUACUGCUGACCCAUGGACCACAGAGUGGUUAAAAGCAAGGGCAUUUGAGGCAGGUGGCCUGAGGGUUCAUGUCCCUGCUGCAUCAUUUACAAUCUCCAUGACCAUGGGCAAGUUACUUAACUUCUGUAAGCCUUAGUUUUCUCCCCAUAAGUUAAAAUAAAGCUGUACCUUCCUUAUGAGUUUGGUAAGACAAAUACCUUAGACAGUGCAUAUAAAGUAAUUAACACCAUGCCUUGAAUGCAGUAGUUGCUCCAAAAAUAUUAAUUAUUGCCACUACCAUUCUACUAUCAUUACAAUUGUUAUUUUUUCAUAUAUUUGCUCAAAAAUACAGUGGAAAUGUAAGCAUGUAAACGUUAUUGUGUUCAGUAUAAUAUACAAACAUUAGCAUAAGUAUUUCCUUUCUCAUGAGCUUUUGCAGAGAUCACCUGCUAAUGAAUGUGGAAAAAUAGAAAUAAAUUUAGAACAUUUCUGUAGAAUCAAAGUUAUUUUCAGGUUCUCUAACACUUGAAAACAAUAAAAGCAUUAAAAAAAUUUUAUCGCAGAGAACUCCCUUAAAUCAAAUGCUUUGAAAUAUUUUAAAGAAAUGCUAAUUUGGAGAUCUUAAAAAAGAAUGAGAUCUAAAAGAUAUCAGAUGGCAGACCAAAAGAAAACUGGGCAUAAUUUUCCAAAAAAAAUAUUUUAUACUCUGUCCUUCAUUUUCAUUUAUUUUGGGGUAAGUUUCCAUGGAGUUCUAUCUUUGUGGAGUAAUUGAACUAGGCUGAUGUCUAAAAAGCAAGAAAAUAUUCUAGAAAAUUAAGCCUGAAAGCUAACAUAACUUUCCCUCUUGAAGCAUUUAAGAAGAUGGGAUUUCUCAAACCGGUAAUCAAAGAUUACCUGGAUCAGAGUCACCUGGGGGCAUUUGUUAACAAGGCCGAUUCCUAAACCCCAGAGGCCACACUAAAUCAGAGUGUUGUCCCAGUAAUACACAUCUUAAAAAGAGUCUCUUUACAUUGUUUGUCAUUUUGAUAAAUGCUGGGUGAAUAAAUACCUUCUUUGGAUAUUUUAAAGGAAAGCACUUCUUUUGCUAGUAUUUAUUUUAAGUGAAAGAUCAUCAUGGCCAGGUUUUUUAAAUUAUUGUUAUUCAUUUUUGGCUUUACAAGGCUGGCGAAUAUGCUUCUCAUUUCUGGCUACAGCCAAGCAUUAGAAAUGGGUCAUCACAGCGUUAAUGAAGGAGUGCACUGAAAUAAAGGUGUGAGGUAGGGGCAUUUCCUAUGCAGUGCCUGUGCGGUUGCUUGCCUGUUCAAUCAUGUGUUCAUUUAUACCUCCAAGACAUUUCUUAAUUGAAUCAGGUCUAUUUAACCCAGUCCAUAUAAUACCUAAAAGCAGCCUUAUAUACAUAUAUAUGGGAUCUCAGAUAACAGGCAGAACGUGAGGGAGAACAUUAGCUGUCUCUAUGCAAAAAUUUUUAAAUGGAUUAUUAAUGAAACAUUAAAACCAGUCUUCAAAGGACAGCAUUUUUUUACAUGAUCCCCAUAGGCUGUAUCUUUUUUGCAAUAAAUCUAUUUGUGUAAAUUGGGAGCCAUAGUCUGUCAGAUCUGUGAGUAGCAUUUCCACAUACAGUGUUAGAAGAAUCAUUGAAAGAAAGAUGCUAGAUUUGAGAAAGAUGAAAGAAAAAAACAUUAAAAUGGCCUAAUAAAAUUUCAAUUUGCAAAAUAUGAUUUUAUACAUUUUCAU